GCUGGGUGUGGUGGCGCAUGCUUGUAAUCCCAUGGCUCAGGAAGCUGAGGCAGGAGGAUCACAAGUUCAAAGUCAGCCUCAGCAACUCAGCGAGACCAUAUCUCUU
RNAcentral lists this small RNA (106 nucleotides) under Marmota monax (woodchuck). The record is from RNAcentral. Lineage: Eukaryota; Metazoa; Chordata; Mammalia; Rodentia; Sciuridae.